UACGUAGGGGGCAAGCGUUGUCCGGAUUUAUUGGGCGUAAAGAGCGUGUAGGCGGCCAGGUAGGUCCGCUGUGAAAACUCGAGGCUCAACCUCGAGAUGUCGGCGGAAACCAUCUGGCUAGAGUCCGGAAGAGGAGUGUGGAAUUCCUGGUGUAGCGGUGAAAUGCGCAGAUAUCAGGAAGAACACCCGUGGCUAAGGCGGCUCUCUAGUACGGUACUGACGCUGAGACGCGAAAGCGUGGGGAGCGAACAGG
This 253-nucleotide ribosomal RNA is filed under the name uncultured bacterium. RNAcentral describes it as "partial 16S ribosomal RNA". It matches the Rfam family "Bacterial small subunit ribosomal RNA", at positions 524 to 776 of the family's 1533-position model. The record is from RNAcentral.